GACGAACGCUGGCGGCGUGCUUAACACAUGCAAGUCGAACGGAAAGGCCCUGCUUUUGUUGGGUGCUCGAUUGGCGAACGGGUGAGUAACACGUGAGUAACCUGCCCUUGUCUUUGUGAUAACUUCAGGAAACUGGGGCUAAUACCGGAUAUGAGCUCCUGCUGCAUGUUGGGGGUUGGAGAGUUUCGGCGUUUCGGGAUGGUCUCGCGGCUUAUCAGCUUGUUGGUGGGGUAGUGGCUUACCAAGGCUUUGACGGGUAGCCGGCCUGAGAGGGUGACCGGGCACAAUGGUACUGAGAUACGGCGCAGACUCCUACGGGAGGCAGCAGUCGGGAAUAUUGCAGAAUGGGCGGAAGCCUGAUGCAGCAACGCCGCGUGCGGGAUGACGGCCUUCGGGUUGUAAACCGCUUUCGCCUGUGACGAAGCGUGAGUGACGGUAAUGGGUAAAGAAGCACCGGCUAACUACGUG
This 468-nucleotide ribosomal RNA is filed under the name uncultured bacterium. RNAcentral describes it as "partial 16S ribosomal RNA". It matches the Rfam family "Bacterial small subunit ribosomal RNA", at positions 28 to 507 of the family's 1533-position model. The record is from RNAcentral.